GCAGAACCAGGAUGAGUCUCACUGCACAGUGAUCUAUCUGCCAACUGAGGAUCUCCUUGGCCCGGGAAGGAUGGCCAAGGAUGGAGGCCUGGAGGAUGUGGGGUCUUCCCUCACCUCUGCAGUAUCCCACAGAAACAGAGGAGCAGGCAGACCAUUGGGCUAAGGAGGCAAGCCUUGAACUUGAAAUCUUCCUGCUUCUGCCUGGCCUAAGAGCAUCCCUGUUUUACACACACUCAAAGAAGCCAGGUGACUUGCCCAAGGCUGCACGGAUUUGGAUCCAGGACUCAGGCUACUGGCUCAGUGGCCUCCAGGAAUUGGGAGGUGCUGUCGCGCCACCCGCCUCGGGCGAUGCCACCGCUGCCAGAAGGAGGUCUUCACUCCCUCGGGCUCCCGCAGUUCCCUGCAGGACCGUGGUGACGGGGGGCGCCCUUGAGUAAUCCAUCUGACAGGUGCAUCCUCCGGAGGCCC
This 468-nucleotide long non-coding RNA is filed under the name Mus caroli (Ryukyu mouse). RNAcentral describes it as "predicted gene 11723 (MGP_CAROLIEiJ_G0002748.1)". Lineage: Eukaryota; Metazoa; Chordata; Mammalia; Rodentia; Muridae. The record is from RNAcentral.